Molecule: long non-coding RNA, 411 nt
Organism: Pyrgilauda ruficollis (rufous-necked snowfinch)
Lineage: Eukaryota; Metazoa; Chordata; Aves; Passeriformes; Passeridae
Exons: 3
Source: RefSeq, a predicted model, not a curated record
UCAGCUUCUUUCAAAGCCUCUGCACCCACGGCUGCAAAGCUGCCUUUCAAGUUGUGAAUGGGGAAAUGCUGUGCUGCUUUCAUGGGCUGAGGAGAAGGGACACAGACUGGCUCAGGGCUGAGCCCCUUCCAGGCUGUUCCAUGGGGAUGUUCCUCUGCUGACCUGGCAGAAAAACUGACUGGAACUGAGCUCUGGAAAAACAAAGUGGAGCUUGGAGCAUGUGGCCUGAGGAUUGCCUUGCACAGCCAGGGGUGGUAGCCAAGCAGUGAGCAGGAUGCCCCCAGGCAUUUACUGCCCUACGGAAUUCUGGUCCAAGGGGGAAAACCAAAACAUCCAGGUGGACUUUUUGCUGCCCACAGGCAUAUACUUGAACCUCUCAGUGCCCUGCAAUGCCAGCCUGGGCACCAUCAA